GAUGAACGCUGGCGGCGUGCCUAAUACAUGCAAGUCGAGCGAACAGACGAGGAGCUUGCUCCUCUGACGUUAGAGGCGGACGGGUGAGUAACACGUGGAUAACCUACCUAUAAGACUGGGAUAACUUCGGGAAACCGGAGCUAAUACCGGAUAAUAUAUUGAACCGCAUGGUUCAAUAGUGAAAGACGGUUUUGCUGUCACUUAUAGAUGGAUCCGCGCCGCAUUAGCUAGUUGGUAAGGUAACGGCUUACCAAGGCAACGAUGCGUAGCCGACCUGAGAGGGUGAUCUGCCAUACUGGUACUGAUACACGGUCCAGACUCCUACGGGAGGCAGCAGUAGGGAAUCUUCCGCAAUGGGCGAAAGCCUGACGGAGCAACGCCGCGUGAGUGAUGAAGGUCUUCGGAUCGUAAAACUCUGUUAUUAGGGAAGAACAAAUGUGUAAGUAACUAUGCACGUCUUGACGGUACCUAAUCAGAAAGCCACGGCUAACUACGUG
RNAcentral lists this ribosomal RNA (497 nucleotides) under uncultured bacterium. RNAcentral's name for it is "partial 16S ribosomal RNA". It matches the Rfam family "Bacterial small subunit ribosomal RNA", at positions 28 to 507 of the family's 1533-position model. The record is from RNAcentral.